GCACCUCAACUCUCGUGGUCUUCCAUGAUGAGCUUGGACUUUGGGGGUCUUGUUGGCCUGUGAGCCAGCUCCUCUUAAAUGAAUCAGCUUGCCAGUGUUUGGUGGCAUCACGAGUGUGAUAACUAUCUACGCUUGUGAUUUCCCACCAGGUAACCUUCAGCAAUGGAGGUUCGCUGGAGCUUAUAAAUGUCUCUCCUCGGCGAAGACACAUUUUGACC
Molecule: unclassified non-coding RNA, 218 nt
Filed under: uncultured Tomentella
Lineage: Eukaryota; Fungi; Basidiomycota; Agaricomycetes; Thelephorales; Thelephoraceae
Description: sequence contains ITS2
Source: RNAcentral